CAAUCGUGACCAGGGAACUCCAAGUGGCUGGGGUAAUACCCAGUUUUUUCUUGACUCUUCAAAGGUCUUGGAAUAAGGGGUGGGUAAGGACGGUGCCAGCCGCCGCGGUAAUACCGGCGCCUCAAGUGGUAGUCGCUUUUAUUGGGCCUAAAACGUCCGUAGCCGGUCUGGUGCAUUCGUGGGUAAAUCAACCCGCUCAACGGGUUGAAUUCUGCGAGCACGGCCAGACUUGGGACCGGGAGAGGUGUGGGGUACUCUCAGGGUAGGGGUAAAAUCCUGUCAUCCUGAGAGGACCACCUGUUGCGAAGGCGCCACACUAGAACGGAUCCGACGGUCAGGGACGAAACCUAGGGGCACGAACCGGAUUAGAUACCCGGGUAGUCCUAGGUGUAAACGCUGUGGACUUGAUGUUGGGGGCGCUCCGAGCGCUCUCAGUGUCGAAGCGAAGGUGAUAAGUCCACUGCCUGGGGAGUACGGUCGCAAGGCUGAAACUUAAAGGAAUUGGCGGGGGAGCACUGCAACCUGAGGAUUGUGCGGUUUAAUUGGACUCAACGCCGGGA
Molecule: ribosomal RNA, 560 nt
Filed under: uncultured Candidatus Poseidoniales archaeon
Lineage: Archaea; Methanobacteriati; Thermoplasmatota; Candidatus Poseidoniia; Candidatus Poseidoniales
Description: bacterial SSU rRNA
Rfam family: Archaeal small subunit ribosomal RNA
Source: RNAcentral